RNAcentral lists this ribosomal RNA (610 nucleotides) under uncultured organism. Its description in RNAcentral is "bacterial SSU rRNA". It matches the Rfam family "Bacterial small subunit ribosomal RNA", at positions 54 to 695 of the family's 1533-position model. The record is from RNAcentral.
CAUGCAAGUCGAACGAUGAGGUCUCUUCGGAGAUCAUCAGUGGCGGACGGGUGAGUAACACGUAGGUUACCUACCUCAAGGUGGGGGAUAACUCCGGGAAACGUGGUGCUAAUACCCCAUAUGUCCUUCGGGAUGAAAGUUUCGGCGCCUUGAGACGGGCCUGCGGCUGAUUAGCUAGUUGGUGGGGUAAAUGCCUACCAAGGCGACGAUCAGUAGCUGGUUCGAGAGGAUGAUCAGCCACAAUGGAACUGAGACACGGUCCAUACUCCUACGGGAGGCAGCAGUAGGGAAUUUUGCGCAAUGGGCGAAAGCCUGACGCAGCAACACCGCGUGUGGGAUGAAGCUUUUCGGAGUGUAAACCACUGUCAGUGGGGACGACUCAAUGACGGUACCCACAAAGGAAGCACCGGCUAACUCCGUGCCAGCAGCCGCGGUAAUACGGAGGGUGCAAGCGUUGUCCGGAAUUAUUGGGCGUAAAGCGUUCGUAGGCGGCAUGCCAAGUCUGAUGUUAAAGCCCGGAGCUCAACUCCGGUUGGGCAUCGGCUACUGGCUAGCCUAGAGUACAGGAGAGGCAAUGGGAAUUCCCAGUGUAGCGGUGAAAUGCGUAGAU